UNUCAAGCAUCCACCAAUUGCCACGUCCUG
RNAcentral lists this non-coding RNA (30 nucleotides) under Mus musculus (house mouse). The record is from RNAcentral. Lineage: Eukaryota; Metazoa; Chordata; Mammalia; Rodentia; Muridae.